This is a long non-coding RNA of Homo sapiens (human), 14900 nucleotides long. RefSeq lists it as uncharacterized. The transcript has 2 exons. NCBI's taxonomy places the organism in Eukaryota, Metazoa, Chordata, Mammalia, Primates, Hominidae. The record is from RefSeq and is a predicted model, not a curated record.
CGCUCCCCGGGCAGCCUCCGCUCCCCUGCACUUGAUAACGCGCUUGUCAAGACUGCUGAGUUGUCCUGACCUCUCCCCGCCGCUGCUAAUUAAGGCUCCGCCGUGACAGUUCAAGUGCCGAGCAUCAAGUUUGCAGAACCAAAGCCUCUAAUUGGGGCCGCUUUUCAUUUCUCCAUCCCCAGGGCUGGGGCUCCCCAGACCUGGGCACUGGCGCAUUUUCUUUUGUAUUUUUCAUCAGGGAGGAGGGGGAGAAGGAAGACAGGCACCAGGAGAGGAGGGCAGGCAACCAACCAACAAGCUGAGGGUAGGGAGGGUGGAGGGCCCCCUCCUGCCCAGCAAAAGCCAGGUGGCGGCCACAGGACACCUCCCUACCAGACGACCUGACAUCGCUUCUAACCCAGGGGUCUCUGAGCUCCCUGACCUAGGGCUUUAAGGAGCUGAGCCCAUCCCCCAGGAGGAGACUGCAGGGGGACCUCCUGACACCGUGUGCUCUGGCAAGGAGGGGCAGACCCGAGACUGGGUGCUGGGGACAGAGGGUGUGUGUAGCUCCGGUGCCCACAGCCCUGCAGAGCACAGCCUCCCUGCCCCUGUGGGGAGGUGUGCUCAGCCUCGCGCCCCACUCCCCGGGGGCCUGCUGGCCUCUCCUUUCCAGAUAAGUGCUGUGAGCACCGAGGCUCUAAGUGACUCUUCAAGCUGCCUUUCUCCUCCACCGCCUACUAAAUCAAGCUGCGCUGAGAGCCAUGGGCUGGGAGGAGAGCAGGAAGGAGGGGCAGGGCUGCCUGCCGCUCUCAGGAGCUGGGGAGGGGUGAGGGCUGGGAGAAGGUCCGGGAGGAGGGGAGGUGAGGAGGGGGCCCAGCCGCGGGGAUGGAAUAGGGGAGCUGCAGGAGAUCUAGUGAGGCUGGCUGGCCAGGCCUCUCAGCUCUGAAUCCUGGAGCUUCACGCAGCACGGGGAUUAUGGCUAUCCCAGCCCACCGACUGCAGCCUGAGAAUUCCAGGUGAUCCUAAUUAAAGGGGUGGGGGCUUUCAUUUGAGCCACUACCCAGGCGAUUCUUAUGACAAGUCAAGUUUGAGAAACAACCAUGUACACCAGGGGGUCUCGAACCCCUCGCAACAGAUUAGAACCACCUGGGUGCUUUUAAACCACAGCGCCCCCUCCCCCCCUUGCGUGGGCCUGCCCCCAGACCAAUGACAUCACACCUCUGGGCAUGGACCCAGCCAUUGGUAGUUUCUAAAGCUCCCUGGGGGCUUCCAGUGCGCAGCCAAGGUAGAGAUCCUUUGUUCCAAACCAGUGGCUCUCAAAGGGGGAGUGGGGGUUGUCCCCCAGGGCAUAGUUAGCAACCAGUGUCUGCAGACAUUUUUGAUUGACACAACUGGGGGUCACAGCGCUGCUGGCACCUGGUGGGUAGAGGCCAGGGAUGCUUCUCAACACCCUCCAGCAGACAGAACAGCCUCCAAACCAAUGAAUCAGCCAACCCCAAAUGUCAACAGUCCCAAGGUUAAGAAACCCAGGGUGAGCCAAUCCCCCACCAGGCAAAGGCCCUUCAGGAACUGUCCUCCACUGCGCCCAGCUCAGGGCUUGCCCGAAGCAGGUGCUCCCUAAGGGUGUGGGGAGAGAGGGUCCCUGGGUCUCCCUUCCCACUCCAGAGCUCACUCCUUCCCACCCGGCUGGCUGCCGUCAGCCUGUGACUGUUACAAUUGCUUCCUGUGUUGAGCUGAAAUCUCUUAACUUCUACCCCACUGGACCAAGCCCUUUCCCAUCUGUCAUCAGACUUCACGUCCUGAUUUGCAGCCCACUCUCACGGUCCCCUGGGUCUGAACUGCUCUGGCAGACUCUCCCCACCCCCACCCUGGCUUCCUCAGCUCCUUCUCCAUUGCCGUCCCUGGUUAUGGGACGUUCUUUGGCCUGUAAACAACCUCCUUAAAGUGCAAGACCACAGGACCGUGUCUGCGCAUGGGUGCUCCGCCCUGGCCUCCCACAGCCCCCGUCUCUUCAAGUCUUGGAAGUGACAUUAGCUCGGGCAAGGAGAGGUCACUGCCGGCUCUUGCCCAGCUUGGAGCAGCCGAGGCCUCAUUCACCCGAACCCCUAACAAGUGACGUCGCCCACUUUCUGCCUGUCAGUUUACUUUUGAAACGAAGUGCUGGGCUUUACAUGAACUACCUUACAUUUUGCCAAGUGCUUUCUUCCCAUUGUCUAGCAGAUUAGCAAGAUAAUGUGGUUUCCAAGGCCAAAUCGUCCAGCGUCCCUCUCUUGAGGGUAAGCCCUGGUGGUCACCCCUGCUCGACGGGACAAUUCGGGAAGUUUAAGAAAAUACCAGGCUGGGCCGCACCCCUGAGCAGUUGUAUCAGAAUCUCUGGAGAAGGGGGUCCAGGUAUCAGUGUGUCUCAAAGCCCCCCGGGUGGUUCCAAGAUGCAGCUACGGCUGAGAAGGCUGCUGGAAGGAUCAGGGACUCAAGGCCUCCUCCAGGCCAGCCCGUUUGACCUUGAACACACUUGGUGUUUCAGGCUGGAGUGUCUGUAGGGGAGUGUUUAUCUGGUCAAGGGAUGUGGGCCAGGAGAUUGCAUCCCCCAGGACAUCGUGUCCUUGCUCAUCGGAGGCCAGGCGCUGGGUGAAGGUAUGUGCACUGCGGGGCCCUGGGGGCUCAUGCACCCCAGCAGAAGGACAGGAUCACAGGGAACAGGGUCUGCUUUCUGGCAGAAAUGCUUUGAGAAGCUCCUGAGAGGAGCCAGGAGCCUGGACUGAGAUCCAACCAGGCCAUCCACUCACUGCGUGAGCUGGGGGAAUCGCUCAGCUUCCCUGGGCGUCAGCAACCCCCUCUGUGAAGGAGGGGUGAAUGCCUGUUCAGCCUUGCACAAAACAAGUGCUCAAGACCAAAGAGAGAAAGCCUCUGGGAAGGGAAAACAAGUCUUAACAGUGACUUGCCCGAGGCCACGUAACUUUCAGGGCCUCAAUAUACUCCUCUGCAGGGUGGGCAGACUGGGUUCAGUGACUCCGUGGAGUCCUCUACCUCUAAUCCAGCCCUUGGCAUGAACUAACAGAUCUUAGCCACUCCACACUAAGCACAUAGGCAAAAGGGACCAGGCAGAGCAUGGAAAUGGAUGCCCUGGUCUCUCUGGAGUGAAAGGGCAGCUGAGUGGUUUGUGCUUUAAGCCCCUAACAGCCAAUGGGAUGGUGAUGGGAGCCAACAAGAGCCCAGGGAAAAGGGCUGCCAAGUAUAGUCGUCCAGAUUGUUCACUGCACAAGAGCUCCUGGAGGAAAUGGCAAGCGGGAGCUGAAACCCAAAGUCACUCUACUCUUCAACAACCAGCUGGGCACGGGAUGGGUCUGCCUGAAGCAAGGGGUGCCUUCUAAUUUGCACAAAGGAGCCAUAUGGGCUGGUGGUGGCUCUGUGGAGGGGCACCCACAACUCCUGCCUGCAUGCAUGUGGAGACACAGAGGGUGCCUGGGGGUGGCGUUUGCAAUUGGCACGGUGGUUGUUCUAGAUAGAAUCUGCCUGCCUCUGACUUCACCCCGAUGCCAUCUUUCUGGGUGAAUGAGCACAGGCGGCGUCAGAGGCCACUGUGUAAGCAGAGGAUGAUGAGCCGAGGCACCACAGGCAGCAGCCGACGGAAAGUCUCAGUCCCUGCCAAGGCCCUAGGCACAGGGUGGCAGGAGCGAAAGCGGCCAAUACUCCUGAGAGUGGGGAGGGCACUGCUUGCCCCACCCAGACCUGCGGGCAGGUGGCACGGUUUAUCCAGAGCAGGGAGAUAGGUACCUCCUUGCUGAAGGUGAAGGAACACAGCUCCCCUCUGGCCUUAGAUGGAGGGUUAGCAGUAGAAAGAGGAGGCCCCAGGCUCCCUGAACCCAAAGUGACUCUAUCCCUCCUGCAGCACAGGGGACCUCAUACUUUAAGAAGCACCAGGAUCCCCAGCAGUGCUGGGGAGGACACAGCCUUGCUCUGCCACCCAGCGUUUCUCAUUUAGCAGGUCUGGGGCGGGGCCUGAGAAUCUGCAUUCCUAAUGAGUUCCCAGGACAACCCCACUUUGGGAACUGCUGCUGUGGUGUGAUAGCCACCCGCAAUGUGGAAGCCCCUGCCACUGGCCAGUAGGGCAUCAACAGGAGAUUCCCCUGGCCCCUGGGCCUCCAUGCCCAGCUCAACCAGCCUCUCCAUCUGGGCAUCCUGGUACCUGGGACAGGGCCUCCAUCUCUCCAUGCCCCCUUCCAAUGCCCUCCUGCUAGGGCAGUGUCUGCUCAGCUCUGGCUGCCCUGGGGUGCAUCCUUCAGCUCCAGCUGUCGAGGGCUCCCCUCCAGGCACCUGCACCUGAAGGCCCAUUCCUCCAAGCAGGGCCUCAUUUACCUGUGGCCUUGAAGCUUCUACCUCAGCUGUGUCCUUGGGCUGCACUCCUCCCUGCUCCUUGAGGGCAGGACUGUCUGCCUUUUCUGAAGUGUCCCACGGCAUCCAGCCGGGAGCGAGGCAGGGGGUCCCCAGAGCUGCAGGGGGUCCAGAAAUGGCUGGCCCACUUCCAAGUGCUGGGAGGCCAGGUCAGUGCCGGCUGGUGCUGCAGAGGGGCCUCUGAGGAAGCCCGGAGCAGAUUGUAGGGUUUGGGGAGUCAGAUCACACCUGAGCACCUCACUAGAAGACAGCAACCAGGGUGCACCAGGAUGGGGUCACUGCUGUGUGCCUCAGUCUCCUUACAUGUAAAAUGGGGUCAAUAAUAGCUACUUCAAUCUCAGAGAAGGUAUGAAAAUUACACACCACCAAUGCUACCACAUCUCAGGAUCGAAUGAGGCAGUGUAUGGAAAGCCUCCGCACAGGGCCCUGCACACUGCCAGUCCUUAAUAAAUGUUGGUUGCUGUUAUUUUUACUGGAAAGCAGGGUUACCACCAAGCCUUGGUUAUAUUCUCCCCACAUUCAGGGUGGCUCCCUCCACCCCUACAGCCUGCCACUCUGCCCAGCCGGGCUGAAGCUGGAUGCCCGUAGGACAGAGGGUGGGGGUGCAAUCACCCCCAAGUCUCCUUCCUGGGGCAUGAGGACCUGGCUGGCAGCUUCACCCAACGAGGCAGGGGGUGCUGUGUGCAGGUAGCCUGGGGCCCUGGAGGAGCCCGUCCAGCCCUUGCCCUGCUCUCUGCAUGCCUGAGCUCAGCCUCCACCAGGUCCUGGGACGAUGACACAUCUCAUCACCACGAGGGAGACUGUGAAGCCUGCUGUGCCAACCCUACCGGACAGAGAAACCCAGGAUGAUCUGUAUCCCUGCCCCAGGUCAGGGACCAUCAGAGACAGCCUCUCCCCUGCAGUGGGCAAAUGCUGGGACUCAUGGCCAGGCUGACAGCUGCGGUCCAGUCUGGGGGGAGUCUCGCUGUCCCCCAUCUGCCAGCUCAGGGUGGAGAUGGACAUGCUCCCUUCUCUCCUCCCAGAGCAUCUUCCUUGCUCUGGGUUCCUGACCUUGCCCAGAUAAGCUCUGACGGGGCCUCUGCCCUUCCACUCUCCUCAUCCUUAUCUGGCUAUGUGCAAUGCAAUCCUGGCAGCCUCUAGGGCAGACCCCGCUGCCCUUUCUUUUGGGGUCAGAGGAAAGCGGGAGGCAGGAACUGCCUGGCUUACCCCCACAGCCACCCCGAGCAGGCAGUGAUCUCAGGAUGCCUACUGCUGAGGUUCAUUUAUCAGAAGAUUCUUUCGAGCCCCCAGAAAGGAGGCUGCGGAAGCCCUUGGUCAGCUCUUCUGUCGGGAGUUGGUCUCUUGUGACUUAGCAAGGCAAGGCCCGUUUUGUCCUGGGCUGUGCUGUGAAUGGCAUCUUCUUUGAAAACACAGCCUGCCGGUGUCUCUCCUGUGAGUCCCACCGUCCCUGGCAAUGGCGGGGCUUGGGAGUGUGGCGGGGCACAGAGGGCAGGUUCUCCCCGCCAGGACCCUGAGUCGCCACAGCAGCCUCCUAGCGGGCCUCUCACCCACCAGCGCUCACCCUGCUGCAGCCUCCCUCCCUGGAAAUGCUUAAUCUUCUUUAAAUACCACUUAGCUGCCUCAAGUCCCUUCUGGAAGCAGAGCAAAAAUGGCAGACCACACACACACACACACACACACACACACACACACACACACACACACACACACACACACACGGCAGGAAAAUGACCCUCCCCUCCCUGUCCUCAGGGUGCUUGGGGAUUUGCAGCGGGGUCCUGGUCCCUACCACACCACCCCGGACUUCGUGGCAGUGUGAAAUGGUGGGCUGCGUGCUGCUGAAGGUACAAGCAAUUUGGAAAUCCCAGAGCAUAAUCUGGAAGGCAGAGGGUGGUAGAGAUGGCUGAGCUCUCAUGUUCCAGAACAAGCUCAAAGGGUCCCACCUCCAAGCGCUUCCUCUCACAGGGCCUCCCCACUGGAAUGCCCUCUCUCUCUCCCACUUUGCCUCACUGGAUUCUGAUGCCCCAGCUCCACUGCUUCUCAAAGCCAAAUGUAAUGCUGAUGACAGACCCCCUUUGCACCCCACGACAAUAUACCAGGGGUCUGGCCCAGGUGUCCUCCAAAAUACUGUCCUACCCCUCGGUGACCCUCCUCUGAACCAGGACUGGGUGAACUCAGGGAGGCACAGCUUCCUCUGGACACAGAUGAGGAUGAGUUGAGAGGGAGGGCCAGCCACUCAAGUUCAAAUCCUAGCUCUGUUACUUACAACUGGGUAUCCUGGGGCAAGUCAUUAACCUCUCUGAGCCUUAGUUUCCUCGUCUCUAAAAUAAGGAUGCUAUGAGUUUAUUCGCAUUUGUAAGGCACACAAAGCGGGGCCUGACCCCAGAGGUGGGGGUGGGUCCCUGGGAGGGAAGGGCAUUAGGCCAGGAUGGGAGUUAGGCAGCAGGAUGGGCUCCAUGCAGGCGUGAGAGUGGAGAGAGAGCGUGACGCUUUCACCCCCAGACAGCUGCCUGCACGUGGAUGGGUCACAUUCCCCCCAAGCUUGUCAGAAACUGAGAGCAGAACUCCCCAAUGUGGGAAGUCUUGGCCACCUGAAGUCUCGUGCGGGGGAGGCAGCUUGCAGCGCGCCAGGCUCCCUGAGUCUGUCUCUGAUCUGAGACUGAGCCAUCAAUUCCAAACGGGGCUGAGUUGCAGCCCAGAUAAUCGGGGUCCCCCAAAUGAGCAGAGGCUCUGCUUGCCCUUCUGUUUCCUGGGUAGCCGCUAUAAACCCACACCGGCCUGAGCAUGGGGUGUGAGGAGGGGACCAUGGGGUCUGCUGUUACAACACCCCAGCUUCAUCCCCAGCCCUACACUGGGUGGAGUUUCUUUUUUCUUUUCUUUUCUUUUCUUUCUUUCUCUCUCUCUCUCUCUCUCUCUUUUGUAAUGCCAGGUCUUGCUCUGUCUCCCAGGCUGGAGUGGCAGUGGCACAAUCUUGGCUUACUGCAGCCUCAAACUCAAGCGAUCCUCCCGCCUGCCUCCCCAGUAGCUGGGAUUACAGGCAUGUGCCACCACGCCAGGCUGAGUGGAGCUUCAGAGUCUCUGUUUCCUCUCCUGUGAAGAGGGACCCUGGGUCACCUUGGAGGAGAAUGAGGCCCUGCUCUGAAUAACCAUCCAAUCUGCAGGUGUUUAUUGCAGCCGCAGGGCGCUGCUCAGGCCAUCACCCCAACCCGCUCCUCUGAUGCUUACGAAGCCUCGUGGGAUGCACCCGUGUCCCCAUUUACGGAGGAGGAAACAGAACAUAAGGUGCCUGCACAGAACCUGGCACCCAGGAGGUUGAGUUACGGCUCUCCAGAAAGAUCUGUCCAUACCCUCACCCUCCGCACCUGGGCAGGCGACCUUAUUUGGAGGCAGGGGCUUUGCAGAUGUGAUUAACUUAAGGCUCCUGAGAUGAGCUCAUCCUAGAUUAGGGUGGGCCCUAAACCUAGGGAGGAGUGCCGUUCUAAGAAACAGAGAAGGAGACGUGGACCCAUAGAAGGCUGCAUGAUGAUGGAGGCAGAGCCUGGAGUGACGCGUCUACACGGCAAGGAGUGCCAAGCCUCCUUGCCAAGCAUGGCCGGCACCGCCAGCAGCUGGGAGGAAGGCUGGAACAGAUCCUCCGCCAGGGCCUCCACAAGGAACGCGUCCUGCCGACACCUUGACUUUGGACGUCUCCAGAACUGUGGGAGAGUCAGUGUGUGUUGUUUUGAGGCCCCUGGUUUAGGGUGAUUCAUUAUGGCAGCCCCGGGAAACUCAUCCGGCAUCUGCCCAGGAGCCUGGCUGCAUGGAUGCUCCAGGGAAAAUGAGCCCAGCCAAAAGGGCACUGUGGGCUCAGCAGGGGAAACUAAGGCCCACUGGCAAGCCUGGCUGGCCACCCCUCCUGAGCCGUUCUGCCUUGGCUUGGAGCCAUCUGCUGGCCGCUCCCCUGCCGCAUGGGUAGCCCUCCAGGGCCACUGCCACCACCAGGGCUGAGGGCGAGGAACCAAGGGCCUGGGGCAGCCUCGGAGAAGCUCGGAGGGUAUGAAAAUUACACACCACCAAUGCUACCACAUCUCAGGAUCGAAUGAGGCAGUGUAUGGAAAGGCUCCACACAGGGCCCUGCACGCUGCCAGUCCUUAAUAAAUGUUGGUUGCUCUUAUUUUUACUGGAAAGCAGGGUUACCACCAGGCCUUGGUUAUAUUCUCCCCACGUUCAGGGUGGCUCCCUCCACUCCUAGAGCCUGCCACUCUGCCCAGCUGGGCUGAAGCUGGAUGCCCGUGGGGCAGGGGGCGGGGGUGGAAUCGCCCCCAAGUCUCCUUCCUGGGGCAUGAGGACCUGGCUGGCAGCUUCACCCAAGGAGGCAGGGGGUGCUGUGUGCAGGUGGCCUGGGGCCCUGGAGGAGCUCAUCCAGCCCUUGCUCUGCUCUCUGCAUGCCUCAGCUGAGCCCCCACCAGGUCCAAGAGUGCCAAGCAAGUGGGGCCGGCCGAGGUCAGACACCUGGGGGUCCGCCCAGAGCUGGAUGGGGUGCGACCGCCUUGUGCAGAGGGAAAAGGAGGUCUAGAGAGGGAGGGCGCUGGAUGAAGUAGGAUCCCCCCACAGGAAAGGCAGUGGCGCCCCCUCUUCUCAGCCCCCUGAGCUCUAGACUUCAGGACAGGAACUGCCCACCUGAGCCUGGUCUCAUGGGGUGAGGGGCACAAACCAAGCCCUGCCCUCAACAGCUGGGGCUCCAGGAGCCACACCCAGCCCCAGGGUCACCACCUGAGGGACCUGCUACUUCCACCCACCGACCUCCUCCUGAUGAAAGAGGUGCCCUCACACCUAAGCUGGGACCCAGCCCCCACAAGCAGCCCCAUACCCCAACCCUCCCUGCUGCCUUGCUUCCUACGUCCAGCCACCCCGGCAUGCACUGUCACUGCCUGGCACGCCCCAGCGCCCGAUGCUGAGUCCUUUGUACACACUGCGUCCAUGCACCGAGCAAUCUGCCCAGCCUCCGCGGAGGGAAGGGAGGUAGAGGAGGGUGGGCGGGCUGCUCAGGGUCCCCGAGCCACCGUGUGACUUUACCACAGAGCUCCCCAAAACAGCUUUCCUUCACACCCCCAUCAGCCGUGCCAAUGUCUAAAUCUAGAACCUUCCCCCGAUACGGGAGCUGGAAAGGACUGCCUGGCAGUUGCUAACCCCCUGCCCCCAUUUUACAGGUGGGGGACCCAGGCCCAGGAGCUUCCGUGACUCAUCUAUCCAAGAUCACACAAAAUCCUGGUGUCCCUCCGCCCUGGACCGGCAGCGUCGGGGACAGAAAACCAAAACACAGGCAAAUUGCCAAACCACACAGCCAGAGAAGCCAGAAAGCUCCAGGGAGGACCCUCAGUGCCCACAGGGUGGGGUUGGAGGCACCGAGCGACCACCCAGUCCCCCACCCAGCACUGCAGCACUCACCUAGCCCAGCGCCUGGCAGAGGGAAGGGCCCAAUCCCUGUUUGUUCACAGAACGAACGGGGGAGAGAGAACGCCAAUCCACUACCACUGCUGGGAAAGACACCCGGAGUUCUGCACCGCCCACCAGGGGUCUCUCUCCCAGGACCUGUGCUGAGGGUCUCUGGGUUCAAAUCCUUCCCUGAAUUUCAGUGAGGCCUUAAGGAGGAGAAGACCACAGGCCUCCCACAGGUGGGAACAGCCUGGGCCCACUGGGGCAGGGGAUUCCGAGGAAGGAGGCCCUUUGAGAUGCAGCAGCACCCCAGGCUUCCAGGAGAAUCUGCGUCCUUUAGACCAGGGGCUUCUGGGCCCCGCCGGGGUAGCUUUGAAAAAUCCCAGUGGCCUUGCCACAGUCCCAGAUCAACCAACUUAAAAGUCUGCGUGAGUAUGGCCUGGCCAUCUGCAUUUGUUAGAGUCUGUCCCUAGGUGAUGCCCUGAGCUGCCAGACAGAGGGAGAGGUGGGGGCCAGAGUGGGAACACACAGGCUCAGCACCCGCUGUUAAUUACCGGGGCCCACUGGCACGUCCCAGCUCAUGAGGGUUGGGUAAAUAAAUAAAUAACCGCGCUGGCAGGGCCAUCAAACAUCAUCACAUUAGGGACGCGAGGAGUCAGACAGCUUGACUCUCAAAACAUAAUCGGCUUAAUUGCGGGGCCCCGAUGCAGGCCAGGGUGGCAAACGGCUUCAGCACUCCCAUUCGUUUCAUUAAAAUCCAAUUAUUCGCGCCGGACACGGGUCUCUCUGGCGGGGACAAAGAUGCAUCUUCAGCCAUGGUCUAACCUGACACCGAGACACGGACCUUGGGUGGGGACGCUUCUUGCUUACAGCACAUGGACCCAGUCUCCCUGGAACCAGAAACUCGGAGACAGGAUCAGAGAAGUCAAGCGAUCUCUCCAAAGUCACACAGCAGCGAUCCAAACCCCAGGCAUGCUGGCCCCAGUGCCCCCAGCUCACAACCACUACACCUGGCCCCUCCUCAAAGGCUACCAGUGUUUCCUGAAUGCAUCUCAGCUGGGCUGGGAACAAGGCAUUUGGGCUUCAUAAGCGUCCAUUCCGGAAGAGAGGGCAGGAGCUGCCGCCCACUCCGAUUUCCAAUCAAUCUCACUUGGCAAGCGUUGCUUACUUCAUCUGGGCCUAUGGAAAUUGGAUUCUCAGGUGACCCUGUGGCCAAAGGUGGCCAGACAGGGCCACGACCGCAGCCGGAUCUGGGAGCCGGGGCUCUGAUCUUCCCCGCCCCCCAUGCGGCCUCGGCCCAGCUGCCGGCUGCCAUCCCAGGGAGGCCCUGAGGUUUCCCAGCCAUCCCUUGGCUUUGUUUUUCUGGGCCCUUCCAGGCCCAGAACCAUCCAGAAAAGUCGGUUAGGCCAGGAACAGCUGCCUGGCGCCUCUUGAAUGGCUCAGAUGUGGUGCGCGGUGGGGCCCCAAGCCAAUACACUGCCACUAGGUGAAACGGGCACCAUUAGAGUCACAAAGACCAAUUAAAAUGAGAGGAAAAACAGCCUUCCGUUCUCCCAGGGCACCCCGGCCAGCUGCUCCCUGCUCCCACCUCACUGGCCCCAGGGGCUGCUCCCGGCCCGGUUUCCAGCCCGGCUCCCUCCUGCGCCCGGCCACCUGCCUUUGACAGAGUCAAUAUUGACGCCUGAGAGGCCUCCUGCUCAGGCGAGUGAGGGCUGAGCGGGUGGAGGGGCGGGGAGAGGCAAACAGCUCCUGGAUUUUCGACUCAAUUGCUGCGCGUAGAGAUGAGAAAUUGCCUUUCUGACCCAAAACCGGAGUUCACAGCUGCACUUCAUUACCGAUUUCUCCAGGAGGCCCUGGGAGAGGCUCGGCUCGGGAAGGGCUCACCUGUUAGCAGCAGCUGCCGCCUGCCUCUUUCAUAAACACGUUGGUGGUUUCCUGCCCCGGGUUGCAGGGCCGGGGAUGUGGGCGGCGUGGGGCGGGCUGCCAGUGGUGCCCCCGGAGCCCCCCUCCAUCGCCCCUGCCAGUUUGCAUUAACUUGGCAGAUGGAGGGAGGAAGAGGCGCCAGAUAAGCGUGCAGGAGGGACAGGAAAUGGCCACAGGGUCGGCUCUGCUCACUUUAGAAGGGACCAGAAGGUGAGAGCACAUCUUCCCCCUGGGGUCCCGCCUCAUCUCUCAGUCUCAUGUCCACUGCACAGGGCUAACAAUAGCAUGACAGGUGACUGGAGCAUCUCCAGGUACACAGUAGGCACUCAGCAAGCACUCUCUCCCCUCCUGGCUUGCAGCUGGCCUCUCUGCUUUUGAAACACCACCGUUCGGUAUCUGGUCAUCACUCAAAGAGCACAGGGUCUUGCACCCCAGGGGUCUUCCACCCUGGCUGCACAGCAGAAUCAUCUGGAGAGCUUCCGGAAAGAUCCCGAAGCCCAGCUGUACCCCAGAAUCCCUAAGCUUGGGCCCAGGUAUGUUUCCAGAGCUCCUGGGCAGCUGGAACACAAAGCGAGGCUGAGACUCUCCGUCUGGGAUCAUUAUUAUCUGGAUCUUCAAGUCUGCACAUCCUUUUCCAGAGAAGGUGAUGCGGGCAGGGCAGGCGGAGGAGCCCAGAGCUGGGUACACGACUGGGAGGAGGCAGAGGGCUGAUGAGCCCUCGCUGGCUGCCAGGUGCCCUACGCUUCCUUCCCAGCUCUGCUUCUCCCUCUGCCAUUAAGAUUUGCAAUCCUGUCCCCUACACUAAGCCACAGCAAGCCCUGAGGUAUCAGCAGCUGCCUCGAGUCGCCCACCAGGAGCUGGCAGUGAGAAGCUGUGUGACCCUGGGCAAGUCACUUGAGCUCUCUGGACCUUUGCUGAUGAGGCUGGAGACUGAACCAGAUGGCCACUGAGCUGUGUGAAAGGCACCUCAGGGUCUGACCUCACACCUAAAGGUGCAGGUGGCUGCUCCCUUUGGAAGCCUCAGCAGCUCACUGCCAGUCUUUCUUCUCAAUUCAGCCUCCACUGCUGGGUACCUGGGUGAUCCUACAGAAGCUCCGAGCCCCACAGAGCCUCCGUGGCCUCAUCUGGUUAGUGGGAAGAUGUGACACCUCACAGGGUUGCUGUGAGGGUGAAAUGAGGAAACAGGCACGGAGCAGGCGCCUGGCCCAUGAUGGUGACAGCUGGUGACAGCUGGUAUGUGCUGAGCACCUGCGUGAGCCAGCUCCGUAGCCAACCUGAGUCCUCCGUCCUCACAGCGCACCAGUGUGGCUGGUUCCUUUAACUGCCCCGUUUUUCAGAUGAGAAAGUCAAAGUCCAGAGAGGUCAUCUGCCCAAGGUCAAGUGGUGAAUCUGGGACUUGAACCCUGAACUGUGAACCCCAGCUCCUGGCCACCACGUGUUUAUAUGAGCCUUCUUCCAGUGCCUUCUCAGGGCCACUGGGGCCUCAGAGUAGCCAAAAGAGUGGUCCAAGAAAGAAUCCUUGUGCGGAAACAGGGCCCAGACCACGGAGGGCUGGGGGUGCUGCACACUCCUAACUAGUGCCUUCUUGCUUGCAAAGCAGGCAAGGUGGGCCCGGCAUGGCCCCAGGUGCUGGGAGGGCCCAUGACACGGAGGCCCAGAAAGCAGCAGGGCAGAGGGCCCAGAGUGAGAGGCCCGAGCAGGGUCACUGCUCAGGGCAGGCUGCUUUGUGUCCUGGCUCAAAAUAGAGGCUCAGCUCAAGGCGUGUGGCCCAUGGAGCACCCGACAUUGUGCUGGAGGGGUCGGACGAGCCAAGCUGAAGGGCAUGGGGGUGCAGGGAGCAGGCACACAGAGCAGGAGGAGGGUGUGCCCGUGCAGAGGGAACGGAAGGCCAGAUGGGGACAGCGGGAGCGGGGUUGCGGGCCCUGGGAGGAACCUCGGGAAGCUCCAGUGAGGAAACGGAGCCUAAGACAGAUGAGCCAACCUGCCCAACGCACCCAGGAAGCCAAGCGGAACAGGACGCAGGCUACCGCCUCCACCAUGCCCGCUCUUCCCUUGUUCCUCCGUUCCCCAGGGCUGAGCUCCAACACACGGUAGGUCUCCCUGCCAUGCAGGCAGAGAACCCGCUCGAUGGCGUCUACUGAGCCACCCACACCCCAUAGGGGUCGAGCCCCACCCCGGGCUACCCUCUGCUCUCCACUCCUGCUGCCGUCCUUCCACAUGAGCCCGGUCAUCGCAGAACCCAGAGCCAACGCUGGGCCCACCGGGGGCUCCUGGCAAACAGGAGAGCCACCAGCAAUGCCGAGUGGGGGGACAUCACCCACCCAUGCCUAUCACGUGCCAGGCGUUGGUCCAAGAGCUUACAGCAGAUCGUCUCCAGCACUAUGAGGUUCAGUUCUGUUUUUAUCCCUGCUUGACAGAAGGGGAAACCGAGGCAGAGAGCAUUGCAGCUACCGCCCAAGGUCUCACAGCUGAGAGACCAUGAGGUAGUCAGACCAUCUGGUCCCAGAGCUCCCACGUUCAACUGAUGAGUGGAGGACACAGCAGAGGCCUUGUUGUCCUGGGAAAUACAGGUCCUCCGGGGAACAGGCCCCGACGUCGCAGAGCUGAGGCCAAACAGCUCCCUGCCUGGUGGGAUGCCAGGGCCAGGCGGGGCUCUCUGGAAGCAAUCAUACUACCAAUCAGGCUGCUCAUGGCGCUGAUACCAGCAGCUAAUGUUUACAGAACGCUCACUGUGUGUGCACCCAGGCACUCUUCCAAAUGCUACACGCACAGCCGUUACCCGUGGAACCUCCCAAGCCUGUUAGGUAAAUGCCAUUAUUUGCCCAUUUCACAGAUGGGGCACUGGCAGCACAGAGAGGUUAGGACACCCGCCUGAAGACACACAGUUACUAGGUGACAGUGCCGGGAUGUGAACUCAUCAGCCUGACCCCAGCGAGCUGCAAGGCGGGCCCCCAGCAGAAAUCCCACAAGGGCAGCAUGGCUGCAGGGGCCAAUGGGAGCAGGCCAGCCACCCACCAGGGCGGCUGGGGGGAGCUCUCCCUCGAGCCAGGAGAGGGCUGCUGCUGCUGGCGCGCUCCCCGAGAGGCCAGGCCUUGCAAGGGAAGCAGAAAUCUGUCGUUAACACAGUGCCAAACCCAAAGUGGCUGCUCCCAAACUGCAAUCCAAUAAAAGUGCGACUUGUCUAUUUAUCA